Molecule: ribosomal RNA, 465 nt
Filed under: Vreelandella stevensii
Lineage: Bacteria; Pseudomonadati; Pseudomonadota; Gammaproteobacteria; Oceanospirillales; Halomonadaceae
Description: partial 16S ribosomal RNA
Rfam family: Bacterial small subunit ribosomal RNA
Source: RNAcentral
CCUACGGGCGGCAGCAGUGGGGAAUAUUGGACAAUGGGCGAAAGCCUGAUCCAGCCAUGCCGCGUGUGUGAAGAAGGCCUUCGGGUUGUAAAGCACUUUCAGUGGGGAAGAAAGCCUUGGGGCUAAUACCCUCGAGGAAGGACAUCACCCACAGAAGAAGCACCGGCUAACUCCGUGCCAGCAGCCGCGGUAAUACGGAGGGUGCGAGCGUUAAUCGGAAUUACUGGGCGUAAAGCGCGCGUAGGCGGUCUGAUAAGCCGGUUGUGAAAGCCCCGGGCUCAACCUGGGAACGGCAUCCGGAACUGUCAGGCUAGAGUGCAGGAGAGGAAGGUAGAAUUCCCGGUGUAGCGGUGAAAUGCGUAGAGAUUGGGAGGAAUACCAGCGGCGAAGGCGGCCUUCUGGACUGACACUGACGCUGAGGUGCGAAAGCGUGGGUAGCAAACAGGAUUAGAUACCCGGGUAGUC